RNAcentral lists this transfer RNA (38 nucleotides) under Cercocebus atys (sooty mangabey). RNAcentral describes it as "partial tRNA-Phe". Lineage: Eukaryota; Metazoa; Chordata; Mammalia; Primates; Cercopithecidae. The record is from RNAcentral.
CUGAAAAUGCCUAGAUGGGUCUACACACCCCAUAAACA